RNAcentral lists this ribosomal RNA (451 nucleotides) under uncultured bacterium. RNAcentral's name for it is "bacterial SSU rRNA". It matches the Rfam family "Bacterial small subunit ribosomal RNA", at positions 28 to 476 of the family's 1533-position model. The record is from RNAcentral.
GAUGAACGCUGGCGGCGUGCUUAACACAUGCAAGUCGAACGAAGCACUCUAUUUGAUUUUCUUCGGAAAUGAAGAUUUUGUGACUGAGUGGCGGACGGGUGAGUAACGCGUGGGUAACCUGCCUCAUACAGGGGGAUAACAGUUGGAAACGACUGCUAAUACCGCAUAAGCGCACAGGAUUGCAUGAUCCGGUGUGAAAAACUCCGGUGGUAUGAGAUGGACCCGCGUCUGAUUAGCCAGUUGGCAGGGUAACGGCCUACCAAAGCGACGAUCAGUAGCCGACCUGAGAGGGUGACCGGCCACAUUGGGACUGAGACACGGCCCAAGCUCCUACGGGAGGCAGCAGUGGGGAAUAUUGCACAAUGGGGGAAACCCUGAUGCAGCGACGCCGCGUGAGCGAAGAAGUAUUUCGGUAUGUAAAGCUCUAUCAGCAGGGAAGAAGAAUGACGGU